This 434-nucleotide ribosomal RNA is filed under the name uncultured Lachnospiraceae bacterium. Its description in RNAcentral is "bacterial SSU rRNA". It matches the Rfam family "Bacterial small subunit ribosomal RNA", at positions 341 to 792 of the family's 1533-position model. Lineage: Bacteria; Bacillati; Bacillota; Clostridia; Lachnospirales; Lachnospiraceae. The record is from RNAcentral.
ACGGGAGGCAGCAGUGGGGAAUAUUGCACAAUGGGGGAAACCCUGAUGCAGCGACGCCGCGUGAAGGAAGAAGUAUUUCGGUAUGUAAACUUCUAUCAGCAGGGAAGAAACUGACGGUACCUGACUAAGAAGCGCCGGCUAAAUACGUGCCAGCAGCCGCGGUAAUACGUAUGGUGCAAGCGUUAUCCGGAUUUACUGGGUGUAAAGGGAGCGUAGACGGAGAGGCAAGUCCGAAGUGAAAGCCUGGGGCUCAACCCCGGGACUGCUAUGGAAACUGCAGUUCUAGAGUGCCGGAGAGGUAAGCGGAAUUCCUAGUGUAGCGGUGAAAUGCGUAGAUAUUAGGAGGAACACCAGUGGCGAAGGCGGCUUACUGGACGGUGACUGACGUUGAGGCUCGAAAGCGUGGGGAGCAAACAGGAUUAGAUACCCUGGUA